This 373-nucleotide ribosomal RNA is filed under the name uncultured bacterium. RNAcentral's name for it is "bacterial SSU rRNA". It matches the Rfam family "Bacterial small subunit ribosomal RNA", at positions 525 to 896 of the family's 1533-position model. The record is from RNAcentral.
ACGUAGGUGGCGAGCGUUGUCCGGAUUUAUUGGGCGUAAAGGGAACGCAGGCGGUCCUUUAAGUCUGAUGUGAAAGCCUUCGGCUUAACCGAAGAAUUGCAUUGGAAACUGGAGGACUUGAGUGCAGAAGAGGAGAGUGGAACUCCAUGUGUAGCGGUGAAAUGCGUAGAUAUAUGGAGGAACACCAGUGGCGAAGGCGGCUCUCUGGUCUGCAACUGACGCUGAGGCUCGAAAGCAUGGGUAGCGAACAGGAUUAGAUACCCUGGUAGUCCAUGCCGUAAACGAUGAGCGCUAGGUGUUGGGGACUUUCCGGUCCUCAGUGCCGCAGCAAACGCAUUAAGCGCUCCGCCUGGGGAGUACGACCGCAAGGUUA